CAGCAGCCGCGGGAAUACGAAGGGGGCUAGCGUUGUUCGGAAUUACUGGGCGUAAAGGGCGCGUAGGCGGCCAUUCAAGUUAGAUGUGAAAGCCCUGGGCUCAACCUAGGAAUUGCAUUUGAUACUGUUUGGCUUGAGUUCGGGAGAGGUGAGUGGAAUUCCCAGUGUAGAGGUGAAAUUCGUAGAUAUUGGGAAGAACACCAGUGGCGAAAGCACUCUGCUGGGCCGACACUGACACUGAGAGACGAAAGCUAGGGGAGAAAAUGGGAUUAGAUACCCCCGUAGUCCCUGUCUCUUAUAC
RNAcentral lists this ribosomal RNA (301 nucleotides) under uncultured bacterium. RNAcentral's name for it is "partial 16S ribosomal RNA". It matches the Rfam family "Bacterial small subunit ribosomal RNA", at positions 509 to 807 of the family's 1533-position model. The record is from RNAcentral.